UUGGAGAUCUGGCCACCCGCUUCAUCAGCCGGUUUAUCGCCGGGGUGCCCGCAGAUAGGAAGACGAGUUACCUGGAGACGGUCAGACAGAGGAGAGAUGAAUCACUCAGGGAAUACGUCGCCCGUUUCAACACGGAAGCCUUGCAAAUUUCUGAGCUCGAUGAAGGAAGGGCUGUAGAAGCCAUGCAGAAGGGGACGACCUCAGCCGAGUUCUUUGGUUCAUUAAGCAGGAAGCUUCCGAC
This 241-nucleotide long non-coding RNA is filed under the name Manihot esculenta (cassava). RNAcentral's name for it is "long non-coding RNA (MESC_LNC009806)". The record is from RNAcentral. Lineage: Eukaryota; Viridiplantae; Streptophyta; Magnoliopsida; Malpighiales; Euphorbiaceae.